CCGUUCCCGAACCCCCUCUCUCUCCCAAUCUCUGCUCCACUCUUUCAUUCUCCUCUCUCUCUCUCUCUCCCUUUCAAUGACUGGAAUUUAGGGAUGGUACUCUCUCUCUCUCCAUCUUUGUCUCUCUCACUUUCUCUUUCAAUGGGUGGAAUUUAGGUAGUAGCCAUGGCAGCGGCAGCCAUAUCCAUUAUUGUCGAUGGCCGCCGACAAUUUUAUGUUAGUUGUUUGAAGAAAUGCUUCAAUCAAGAACCUUCAUAGAUAAAACCAUGUUACAGGUCCUCUGCUUCAACCUGACUUAUUUUGCUUGCAGGAACUUACGAGAUCCCUAUCUUGUGGGGACACUGGCACCUGAGCUAGCAAGCUUCCUCGCAUUAGAUCUUUCUUUUCUUUUAACAGUACUUUGGCCUUAGAGAGGAACAAGUGUACUCAUCAUCAUAUAAACCAAUGAUGGCCAUAAAUAUCUUAAGCCAAAUCUACAACCAGAACAUAUUGCACCUUGGUUGAAGGAGUAUACGGUGAUGCUUCUCCUCCUUUCUUUGCAUUUUUCUUUUCACAUCGCAUGCAAGUUUAUUGUUGAAGUUCAGAUUUCUUGCAUGCCUAUUCUACUAUGUAUAAGAAAUUUUAGAUCUAACAUUUCCAUACAGUUAUAAUGAUAUUCAUAAAUUAAGAUCCACUGUUAUUGAUCAUGUGUUUUCUGACUUGACUGACUUAAAUGUAGGAUGGAAACAUAAAGACAUGUUUGUAAAAUUUGUGCCUAUUCCUGAAGUUAACAAUUUCCAUGUCAAGAUUGUUGUUGCUAACAGCCUCCAUGAUGUGGUUUUUAACUCUGAAAAAAAUGGUUUGUGCCCACCAACAUCUCUUUUUGGAUUUUUCUUUGACAAUUCAUGAAUUUUAGUAGAUAAAA
Molecule: long non-coding RNA, 904 nt
Organism: Magnolia sinica
Lineage: Eukaryota; Viridiplantae; Streptophyta; Magnoliopsida; Magnoliales; Magnoliaceae
Exons: 3
Source: RefSeq, a predicted model, not a curated record